RNAcentral lists this long non-coding RNA (1761 nucleotides) under Olea europaea (common olive). RNAcentral describes it as "long non-coding RNA (OEUR_LNC007212)". The record is from RNAcentral. Lineage: Eukaryota; Viridiplantae; Streptophyta; Magnoliopsida; Lamiales; Oleaceae.
GAAGGCAAAAAGAAGGAAGAAAUUUUGUGCUGACUACUUGAAGCUUAUUUAUUUAAUUCUUCAAGAGGUAAAGAUUAAAAUUUUAUGGAAUGGUUAUGGUAAAUUUUCUAGGGUUCUUGGGAAUUGGUUGGGUUAAUUUUCAAAUUGAAGGAAAGAAUAUGAUUUCCAGCCGAUCUUUUUGAUUUGUAAAAGAUUUUUGUAUCAAGGUAAGUUAUGCUAAUUUUUGGCAAACCCUAAAUUUUUAUUUGGGAUUUUUGAAUAAGUAUAAUUAGGAGAAAUGAUUAUGAUGAUGGAAUAUUAACUUCGAAAAAUGAAUUUGUGGAAUAAGAUAUAAAUUAGAUUGGUGCAUGUGAGAAUUCGAAUUUCACUAGAUUAGAAGAAAGUAUUGUUUUUAUGUUUGGGAGAAAGGUAAUUCCGAUAAUUUAAAGAUUAGUGAAAGGACUAGAAAGUAGAAUUAGUUCCAAUUGUGAAGGAGAUUAAAGAUUAUAUUCAAGUUCCAAGACGUUAAGUUCUAAUAUUUCAUAGUUAAAUGUUAAGAAUAUUUGGAAUGGUAGUUGUUAGAUGGGUUAUUUGGUAUCAUAUUUAAGGUAAUGACGAGGAAAUUGGAAAAAAUUAUCGACCUUCAUAGCCUAUAGCUUGACUUGUAAGUGGAUAUAAACCUAUUUUUCAGAACUUAGUAUUUAAUAAGUUUAUAUUAAAUCAAAAAAUUUAUUAUUUCAUAUAGUUGAUUUGACAGCAUGAUUUUCAGAAUAAAGUGGAUUUAUAAUAAGUUAUUUUUAAAAUUAAAUUCAAUCCAAUUAAAUCAUUUUGAUUAGCAUGUUAUAUGAAUAUUAAAUAUUUCAGCAUAUUUAAAGUUAUUUUUAAAACUACCAUAAAGUACUCAGGUGAUUUUACCCUAAUUUACACUGUAAUGAAUGUGUUUCAACAGUGUAUGACCACAUAUGGUUAUUUCACCCAUUCUGCACUGGUGCGAAUAUGUUUCCAACAAUAUAUGAUCAGUUAUAGUUAUUUUACCCGUUCUGCAUUAUUAUGAAUGUGUUUCUAUAGUUUAUGAUCAUAUUAUAGCCUUUGGGUAGCUCUGCGCGUGCAUGACUAGAAUUACAGAAUUUUAGAUUUUCAGAAUAUAAUAAAUUUGUCGUCUAAGUCGGUAUUAAUCGAUACAUGAGUAAGGUUAUUUUGGGUACCUUUUUUGUGUGAUUUUCAGUAAGUUACAAGUUAUCAAUUUUCAGAUUACAGAAUUUAGUUACUUCAAUUUAAAGAAUAAAGAUUUUAACUUAUAGUACCGUAAAAGGAUAUUUUUAUUAUAUAUUAGUUUUUAGAAAGUUGGCAUAAAUGAAAAAUAUAAACUUAUUUGCGAAAUAUCUACUUACUGAGUUGUAGGCUCAUACAUUUUUAUCACCAUUUUUCUUAUCAGAUAGUAGUUGAGUUGAGCAGCGUUGGAGCCCAUUGAUCUACCGAGUUGAGCCAUACAUUGUCAAUCGUUAUAUGUUUCAUCUUGUUAGUUCAUAUAGUUUAUGUUUUUGGGAUUCUUGCAUUUUUUGUCAGAAAGGCAUAAAUUGUAAAUUAUUUAUCCAUGUUAUGGGCCUGUUGUGUUUUGUAUAUAUUAUGCAUUUGGGAACUUUUGUUUGUAAAUAAUUGCAAAGGUCAAAUUGUCAGUGUAGUAUUUUGAAUAAUUGUGUUUUGAGGGGUUAGUGUACCCUAUUUUAAAUUACAUAUACCUGUUUGGAAAAUUUGAUUAUACUUCAGAGGAUUUUAGUUCAU